AGGAUGAACGCUGGCGGCGUGCCUAACACAUGCAAGUCGAACGUCCUGUCUCGCAAGAGGCAGGGAGUGGCGGACGGGUGAGUACCACGUGGGUCAUCUACCGUGAGGUGAGGAAUACCGGCGAGAAAUCGCCGACAAGACCGCAUAGCCUCGGUGCAAGUCGAGGAAAGCUCUCUCGAGAGAGGGAGCGCCACACGAGGAGCCUGCGCCCGAUUAGCUAGCUGGUGGAGUAACGGUUCACCAGGGCGACGAUCGGUAGCUGGUCUGAGAGGACGAUCAGCCACACUGGGAUUGAGAACGGCCCAGACUCCUACGGGGGGCAGCAGUGAGGAAUUUUCGUCAAUGGGGGCAACCCUGAACGAGCAACGCCGCGUGCAGGAAGAAGGUUUUCGGAUCGUAAACUGCUUUUCUCGGGGAAGAGAACGGACGGUACCCGAGGAAUCAGCCCCGGCUAACUACGUGCCAGCAGCCGC
Molecule: ribosomal RNA, 473 nt
Filed under: uncultured bacterium
Lineage: Bacteria
Description: SSU rRNA
Rfam family: Bacterial small subunit ribosomal RNA
Source: RNAcentral